GGGUAAGUCUUUUACGACUAGCUCCUUCUAAAUCCUCCAGGACGGGAACGUAGCAAAGGUAAGAGGUUGAGCGGUGCGAUAAAAGUAGCUUACCCUUU
RNAcentral lists this signal recognition particle RNA (98 nucleotides) under Crocinitomicaceae bacterium. RNAcentral's name for it is "signal recognition particle sRNA small type". It matches the Rfam family "Bacteroidales small SRP". Rfam says of the family: The non-coding component of the signal recognition particle in Bacteroides The record is from RNAcentral. Lineage: Bacteria; Pseudomonadati; Bacteroidota; Flavobacteriia; Flavobacteriales; Crocinitomicaceae.